This 253-nucleotide ribosomal RNA is filed under the name uncultured Oceanospirillales bacterium. RNAcentral's name for it is "partial 16S ribosomal RNA". It matches the Rfam family "Bacterial small subunit ribosomal RNA", at positions 524 to 776 of the family's 1533-position model. The record is from RNAcentral. Lineage: Bacteria; Pseudomonadati; Pseudomonadota; Gammaproteobacteria; Oceanospirillales.
UACGAAGGGUGCAAGCGUUAAUCGGAAUUACUGGGCGUAAAGCGCGCGUAGGCGGUUUGAUAAGUGAGAUGUGAAAUCCCCGGGCUCAACCUGGGAACUGCAUCUCAUACUGUCAGGCUAGAGUACGGUAGAGGGGGGUAGAAUUCCACGUGUAGCGGUGAAAUGCGUAGAGAUGUGGAGGAAUACCAGUGGCGAAGGCGGCCCCCUGGAUCGAUACUGACGCUGAGGUGCGAAAGCGUGGGGAGCAAACAGG